CUAAGAAUAUUCCGCAAUGGACGAAAGUCUGACGGAGCGACGCCGCGUGGAUGACGAAGGCCGUGAGGUUGUAAAAUCCUUUUGCUGGGGAAGAAUAAGUCCGGGAGGGAAUGCCCGGGCGAUGACAUGAACCGGCGAAUAAGCCCCGGCCAACUACGUGCCAGCAGCCGCGGUAACACGUAGGGGGCAAGCGUUGUUCGGAAUUACUGGGCGUAAAGGGCAUGUAGGCGGUCCUGUAAGCCUGGCGUGAAAUGCUGCGGCUCAACCGUAGCACUGCGCUGGGAACUGCGGGACUGGAGUCACGGAGGGGGAGCUAGAAUUCCGGGUGUAGGGGUGAAAUCUGUAGAUAUCCGGAAGAAUACCAGUGGCGAAGGCGAGCUCCUGGCCGAUGACUGACGCU
This 400-nucleotide ribosomal RNA is filed under the name uncultured bacterium. Its description in RNAcentral is "bacterial SSU rRNA". It matches the Rfam family "Bacterial small subunit ribosomal RNA", at positions 355 to 747 of the family's 1533-position model. The record is from RNAcentral.